Molecule: long non-coding RNA, 1067 nt
Filed under: Capra hircus (goat)
Lineage: Eukaryota; Metazoa; Chordata; Mammalia; Artiodactyla; Bovidae
Description: lncRNA (ENSCHIG00010013180.1)
Source: RNAcentral
AUGGCUGAGCGCAGCCUCUCACAAAGCAGAUGGGGAACUGGCCGCCGGCUGGGUCUAACCCAACUGCCAGAAAGACCGCCGGCCAGGAGCAGCCGAUUUAGGAGAAGUACAUCAAACAUCCUCACACCCCCAGAAGCCAGUCAGAUAGAUGUCUCCGAAGUGCAAGCAAAGUGUCUCCCUCAGAUGGGAGCAGAAGAAAAAUAUCUAAUAAUUAUGUUGAAUGUUAAUAAUUAAAGUUAAUAUAACUCAGUGGAUUGAGUCCAUAUUUCUCGGAGUGUGCGCAUCUCAUUGCUAGGCAAGCCUGCGCAUCAAUUCUUUGCACGCAAAUAGCUGGCAGAUUUGCAUUUUUGCAGUGCUAGUGUUUCCCACGAAAUUGGCCUUUACUACGGGAUUUUGCUCCUGUUUCCUCAGGACCCCUUUGACACGAUCAGCCGCUCGGUCUGGACCUGACCUGGUUCCUGAGCCCCGUGUGAAGGCCAGGCAGCCUGUGGUUGACCUUGGUCAUCCGUGGGCUCCACUCUGCCGGGCACACAUGGGAGGAUCUCCGGGGCCAUCACCAGCGGUUCGGGAAGCAGCCCACUUCAGUGAGAGACCUCGGGGGGAGCACAGGCCUGGGUGAGGACUUGGAAGCCUCUUUGGUCGCUGGAAAGUAGAGCCUUUCAGGAUUGGGUGCAGCUGCUGGAGACCUGUGUAGAUUCCCUGAGACCACGUCCUCAGGCCUGCGCCUCUGCCCCAGCCGGGCCCCAGGAGCACAGUAGCUGGGACAGGAGCCAUCAGGGCUGCCCCUCCCGGGAGGGGCCUCGGCCCAUUGCAGAGGGAGGCGGGGUCCGGCCCAGUGGCUGCAGGACCCGCGAUGGGCAGCGCCUAGCGGCCCUGCUGGAGCCCGGGGCCGAGUCCUUCGCUCCCUCACCACGGCCGUAUACUCCUCGGCUCUGGUUGGCACUGGCCACUAGCGGUGGCCACCUUCAGGCAGCUGAGCAUCCCUGAGCCCCCAGAGCAUCCAGCCCCUCCAACCCAACCUCCAGGGCAGGCCCCAGGGAGCUGCCCGCUCCCGAGGUCAUCAGCCC